AUACGGAGGGUGCAAGCGUUAAUCGGAAUUACUGGGCGUAAAGGGUACGUAGGCGGUUAAAUAAGUUGGAUGUGAAAGCCCCGGGCUCAACCUGGGAACUGCAUUCAAAACUGUUUGACUAGAGUGUAUGAGAGGUUGGCGGAAUUCCAGGUGUAGCAGUGAAAUGCGUAGAUAUCUGGAGGAACAUCAGUGGCGAAGGCGGCCAACUGGCAUAACACUGACGCUGAGGUACGAAAGCGUGGGGAGCGAACGGGAUUAGAUACCCCAGUAGUCC
RNAcentral lists this ribosomal RNA (274 nucleotides) under uncultured bacterium. RNAcentral's name for it is "partial 16S ribosomal RNA". It matches the Rfam family "Bacterial small subunit ribosomal RNA", at positions 523 to 796 of the family's 1533-position model. The record is from RNAcentral.